AAACCAGGAAACCACCUAAAUGCCCUUCAAUCAGUGUGUGGAUAAACCAUGGCCCCGCCAUACAGCAGAGUACAGCCCAGCAGCAAGAAGGGAGCAAGUGCCAUAGGGAUGACGGCCCCCUGAGUCUCAGAGGCAUCGUAUGAGGGAAAGGCACCAGACCAAAGGCCGCCAGCCAUGGGAUCCCAUCACAUGACAUGCUGGAUAAGACAAAACUCGGGACAGAAAGCGGACGGGGUGUGGGGCCAGGGUGUGGGGAGGGCAGCAUGUGGGAGUCACUGGGGCACAUAGGGCAGUGUUGGUUGCACGGCUGCUUGCGUUUGUUAAAAUUCACACAGUGAUGCCCCCAAAAGGUGACUUUUACUAUGUGAGUGACACCCCAGGAAUCCAGACAUGGAGGGGAGGCUGGGUGCUGGGUUGGCAGCUACCAGGUACCCCCCCAUACAUGCACACACAAGCACAUGCAGCACAUGUGAGCACACACACACACACACCCCAAUCAGGAACAGAAGGAAACAAGUUCAGCUCUGGAAGGUGAACACGUCGAUCACGCUUUCUUCUGGAACACAGCAAGUUCUUUCAUUCUGCAAUGACAGGCUCAUCUGUAUUUUCAGAAAAGCCACAGUUAGCAAUUACACAUAUUUGUAAUUACCUAAGUAAUAAAUGAAUAUUUUCUUUUUGUUUAAAAAAAACAAAGAGAAGGGGGAGAGGUGGAGGGAGGGGAGAGAAACAUGGCAGAUGACCCACAGACCCUCCAGCCUAGAUCUCAGAUUCUCCUCUGCCCUUUGUUUCUGUCUUUCUCCACUACGUAGACGGCCAAUCUUCGGACACCUCUGUUGUUACCAAACAGAAAUGCAAGUUUGUUUACCCGACACACAGUGGGGCCAAUCACUGAAAUGUCGAUCUUGAGACAAGGAAAGAGGUUUAUUAUCAAAAGGCAGCCAGACGAGGAGAUGGGAGUCAGAACUCAGAUCUGCCUCCUCAAAGGGAAAAAGGCAGGGGUUUCUAUCUGGGGUUCUAGGUAGGGGAGGGGCAUGGGGCCUGGCUGUUGGCGCCUUCCCACCAGCCUGCAUUUGGCCCCGUGAGGCUGUCUCCUUUCUUCUUGACGGUGUGGACGUUGGUUUCCUGGGAAAAACAGACAGAAAGAUAUGGUUGGUUUUAGCUGAG
This 1164-nucleotide long non-coding RNA is filed under the name Equus caballus (horse). RNAcentral describes it as "lncRNA (ENSECAG00000049176.1)". Lineage: Eukaryota; Metazoa; Chordata; Mammalia; Perissodactyla; Equidae. The record is from RNAcentral.